UACAGAGGUGGCAAGCGUUGUUCGGAAUUACUGGGCGUAAAGGGCGCGUAGGCGGUUCGUCAAGUCCUGUGUGAAAUCCCCCGGCUCAACUGGGGAACUGCACAGGAAACUAGCGGGCUUGAGUUCGGGAGAGGGAAGCGGAAUUCCGGGUGUAGCGGUGAAAUGCGUAGAUAUCCGGAGGAACACCGGUGGCGAAGGCGGCUUCCUGGACCGACACUGACGCUGAGGCGCGAAGGCGUGGGGAGCGAACGGG
RNAcentral lists this ribosomal RNA (253 nucleotides) under uncultured bacterium. RNAcentral describes it as "partial 16S ribosomal RNA". It matches the Rfam family "Bacterial small subunit ribosomal RNA", at positions 524 to 776 of the family's 1533-position model. The record is from RNAcentral.